Molecule: ribosomal RNA, 408 nt
Filed under: uncultured bacterium
Lineage: Bacteria
Description: bacterial SSU rRNA
Rfam family: Bacterial small subunit ribosomal RNA
Source: RNAcentral
UUUGGAAUUUUGGACAAUGGACGAAAGUCUGAUCCAGCGACGCCGCGUGGACGAUGAAGGCCUUCGGGUUGUAAAGUCCUUUUGCUCGGGAACAAUUUUUGAGCGUACCGAGAGAAUAAGAGGUUGCUAACUCUGUGCCAGCAGCAGCGGUAAUACAGAGACCUCAAGCGUUAUCCGGAAUCAUUGGGCGUAAAGCGUACCGAUAGGUGGUUGUAUAAGUCAGAAGUGAAAUCUCCGAGCUUAACUCGGAAUCUGUCUUUUGAAACUAUACAACUAGAGGGGCAAAGAGGAAGCUGGAACGAACGGUGUAGUAGUGAAAUGCGUUGAUAUCGUUCGGAACACCGAUAGCGUAGGCAGGCUUCUGGGUGCCACCUGACACUGCUAGGACGAAAGCGUGGGGAGCGAAUG